Molecule: ribosomal RNA, 423 nt
Filed under: uncultured organism
Description: bacterial SSU rRNA
Rfam family: Bacterial small subunit ribosomal RNA
Source: RNAcentral
UGAGGAAUAUUGGACAAUGGAGGCAACUCUGAUCCAGCCAUGCCGCGUGCAGGAAGAAUGCCCUAUGGGUUGUAAACUGCUUUUAUUUAGGAAGAAACCCCCCAACGUGUUGGGGGCUGACGGUACUAAACGAAUAAGGACCGGCUAACUCCGUGCCAGCAGCCGCGGUAAUACGGAGGGUCCAAGCGUUAUCCGGAAUCAGUGGGUUUAAAGGGUCCGCAGGCGGACUAUUAAGUCAGUGGUGAAAUCUCUGUGCUUAACCAAGAAAUUGCCAUUGAAACUACUAGUCUUGAAUUCGGUCGAAGUGGGCGGAAUGUGUCAUGUAGCGGUGAAAUGCAUAGAUAUGACACAGAACACCGAUAGCGAAGGCAGCUCACUAGGCCUGAAUUGACGCUCAGGGACGAAAGCGUGGGGAGCGAACAG